This 2791-nucleotide unclassified non-coding RNA is filed under the name Acanthaster planci (crown-of-thorns starfish). Its description in RNAcentral is "gamma-butyrobetaine dioxygenase-like, transcript variant X1". The record is from RNAcentral. Lineage: Eukaryota; Metazoa; Echinodermata; Asteroidea; Valvatida; Acanthasteridae.
GAUCGACGCUAAAAGCGUCGUAUUGGGAUCCCUCUAUUUUGUUAGGGCGUGCGGGCAACUCGCCCUCUACAGCUAGCCCAAGCAAACUUUGCACGAACGGUGUGAGUAUUACGUCUUUUGUAACGUUGUGUAAUUUUAAGAUUUUAGUCCUUUUUGCAGUGCGAAUUGUUUGUUUAUAGCAGCUUCCCUUUGAGUUCAUUCCUUGUGAACAUUGCAGUUGCGAUUCAUGGCGGAUCGCAGGCUUAUAGGCUGGCUUGUUGGUUUCAUGGGGGACGGAGUAGACGCCAUUAGUAGAAACAGCAUAAAGAAAAACGUGUGUCAAAGUAAUGGUGCCCUUCAGCCUGGCUAACAAACUACAAAAGAGGCCGUUACUGUAUGCAAAACACUUCCCAAUUGGAACUGGAGUCAGGGAACCGGCCGGGAUUGUGACUGGUAUUUGUUUGUACGACUUUUACUUGUGCCGAUGGACUAGUCCAUGUCCUUAUCCAUCCACCUGUAGCCCAUCCAUUUUGUCUGGAUGACGUAAGCUUACCGGAUCUUCGCACUUGGUCUGUACAGCCAUUGGUAUUCACGGGGGGUGUUUUAAAUUAUUUUUAGAAGUAGUAUUCAGAUUAGUUGGUUCUUGAAUAGUUCCUUGAGAUUUUUAAACACUUUGUGAAUUAUUCUUUUGAUUUUGUAAGGGCGGCCAGCCCGUGGUAAGUCAACUAGUGGCACAGACACAAACUACGACCGCAUAUCCCGACGUCAUGUCCCUCUUUUGUGGUUAAAUAUCAGACCAAUCUUACUUUGUCCCUCCACCGCUGAAUUUUCAAACACUAAUCUGUUAACACAUCUUACUUCGUGACCUCGUGAUGAACUGUCGCGGUUCAUAUUCAGUGAGCGGUAUCUAGUUCCGAGCCCACUGCAGUUCCAGUAGGAUAGUGAUUCACUGACUAUUCGGGGAUUUUACUCAGUGCCAAGAAUUUCCUAGCUCGUAAAGCCAGCAUGACCAUCUAAUGUAUAACUUGGCGGUUGUCCUUUUGUUAUGCAACCGAACACUCAUCAGCGGACAGUCAGACAUCAGACUCUAUGGUGAUGGGCCCGGUUUGUAUUGCACAACUGACUUGUGUACUUUACAUGCAUUUUGGAUUUUUUUUUUCAGCCAAACCAAGAUGGCCUCCACAUUUGUAGGCGGGACUUUGGCUCGGUUUUUCUCGCGAGUGCAGAUCAAACAUAGACGUGUCUUUUCCAUGUUUGAUCUCACGCGGAGUACACUGCCCAAGGAAAACGCCGGCCAGCCUCCGUUCUUUUGUCACUCUUUUUACCAGCAGGAGACUUUGUCGAAGGCUUCUGCCAAGCUUUACUGCACACAGUCAUCACAAUUCUUCACUGUUCCACCGCAGCCACUAACCUGUGAGGCGGCACCAGCUGACCCUGGCAAGAAUGGCUGCAAGAUACUAACCAACGUGGAGGUGGACACCAAGAAGAAGCAACUCCUUGUUUCCUGGGAAGGUGGUGCUGAGAGUCAGACCUUUCCAUUCGUCUGGCUGCGAGACCAUUGCCACUGUCCAGAAUGUUUCCAUCCAGCUGCCCUGUCCCGUUUGCCCAGCGCGCAGGUAGUCAACGCUGACGUAGCCGCCGAAUCCGCUGAAAUAUCUGCCGACGGGAGGAAGCUAAGUGUCCAAUGGGAUGACGACCACCAGAGCCAAUUUUCAACGGAUUGGCUGAGGUUCUAUCGCUUUGAAGAGUCUGGGGACGACCAGCUGCUCGAUCCCAAGUUAAGUUUCUGGGGCGCUAGCGCCACACCACAUUUCUCAGAUUUUGGUGAGUUGCUUGCAGACGACCGGGCCCUCUACGUGUGGCUGGUGGAGCUGGUAAUUCGUGGGAUGGCUGUAGUAAGAGAAAGUCCAGCUGAGGUUGGUCAGUUGCAAAAGCUUGCCAAACGAGUGGCUUAUCUUCAACCAACAUGUUUCGGAAAUACUUUUCAGGUCAAGAAUAAAUAUGGUACAACCAACAUCGGAUACACAACUGGUGCUUUAAAGUUGCACAACGACUUGACGUACUACUUGCGGCAACCCGGGAUCAUAAUGCUGCACUGCAUCGAGCAGGCCGAAGGGGAAGGAGGCGAAAACCUCAUUUCGGACGGCUUCAAGGUCGCCAUGGAUCUGAAGGAAAUUGACCCGGAAGCAUUUCGUCUCCUGACGACCUACUCGUUUGAAUAUUCGGACAAGGGAAUAGACUGCUUUGGACGUUAUUACACGCACACCAGGCGUCCAGUUAUCAAGUGGGUGUUCUCUUCUUACUUUCAGAUGAUAAAAUGUACGUCGAGAGAUAAGCCUCCACCGCAAACCUGAGGAAAACAUGACAAGGUUUUGCUUGUUCGGCUUGUCCUUUUGUUCAAAAGUUCCCUUGCUACAACGGGAUUGUUCUUGCACUGUCUUGUUCCUUCAAUCAUAGCGUAUGUGCCAUCCCUCGAUGCUGGUGGCACUCACACAAAUGCUGCUUAGUACGAGUGGCCUGUGGUCUUUGGUCGUUUUGCUGGCACGGGGACCGUGGCAUAACCGUGCAAAGGCUAUCGGAGAUUCCGUUCCCGUACAGACCCGCCUUCUCGGACAGUAUAUUCGGAAUGACUGACCGCCCGGCCCAGAUAUCCUGUCACCCUCUUUCCGAUACUUUUUCCGGGAGACAGAACAGGUAGUUGAUAAUUCGUCCUUCUUUUGGUUAAACGAACGUGGCAACAUCGAGACAAUUGCCAUCAGUAAUCACAGCCGGGACCCCAUGCUCCGAGUUCCCGUUGACCAGGUGCUGCCUA